RNAcentral lists this long non-coding RNA (41385 nucleotides) under Olea europaea (common olive). RNAcentral describes it as "long non-coding RNA (OEUR_LNC011577)". The record is from RNAcentral. Lineage: Eukaryota; Viridiplantae; Streptophyta; Magnoliopsida; Lamiales; Oleaceae.
AUUGAUUCUACAACUUUUGGUAGAAAAAUGACAUUUUGUGGAAGAAAGACGAGUGAUCGACUCGUAUAACUGGUUAGUUCCUUGCCAAUAAUUUCAUCUUCCCAUAUAUUUUCAAACAUAUUCAAUACAUACGCAAACCAAACCAUAAUUCAUGUACAGCUCAUGUAUCGCACGUGGCAUAGACUAGUUCUUAUUAAAACCUUUCAUAUCAUACCCCCUUCCACUAUCCGCAUCCCACCCUAAUCGUGCCUCCUCCUCUACCCCCACCAAAUUUUCCUCUCUCUACAUAAAUAACAAAAGAUUCGCAAUGCUCUUUCUCCCUGUAUGUAUAUUUGUGUGAAAAACAAUGAAUGAUGUCAAAUAAACAUCAAUCAAUAAAAAUCUAAUUACCCAAAAAAAAAUGCUAAAACUAGAAAAAUUAGUUAACCAUUUACAUCAUCCAUCUGCCCUUGUAAUUUUGGGUUUCUCUUAUCAUAGCUUCUCAAUGAAAAUCAAAUUAUAAAUUAUAAGUUCUAGUCAUGGAUUUUAAAUUUCACCAAUUACAUAUGCAUAUUGAAGAAAAACAAACUCUUCUCUGCGUCUAAAAUUUUGUCCAUGUACAGUAUACAGAGAGGAAGAAUCUCCUUGCAUCUAAAACUGUUUAUUUGUAUAGUAUGUGUAAGAAUUGGUUCAAAUAAUUAACAAAAAAUUGGAAAAUAAAAAAGUGUGUAAAAGUGAAAAAUGAAAAGGUGUGACUACGUGUCAACUUCGAUCAAAUAUUCAGACUUGAUCCGAUUGUCAAACUAUAAAAGUAAAUAGACCAACUUAUUCUACUCGUCGAGUAGAUUGUCGUGGUAUAUUUGGAAUCUCAAAAUCAAUUCCGAAUAAAUGAGAAAUUGCGAACUAAAGUUGAAAGAAAUAAAGUGUUGCAAUUUUUCGAAAGGAUGCAGGUUUUGGCUCACACUACUUCAUUUGCACCCUUUCUACAUCUAUAAAUAGAAUCCUAUGGAUAUGGUUUUGGAUACAUCAAUUGCAUUGAAUAUUUAUUCUCCUCUUGCAAUUCUCCCCUUUCUAAUUCCAUAGCAUUUUCAUACAUUUCUUUUGUAGAGGGAAAAUUCUGUCAAAAGUUCGUCGGUUUCUUGUGGUUUGUAGUGCUGCUACCACAAAUUGUGAAUCCAUUGUAUCUUGGAAGACAAGUGUCAUUCACCGUGAGCACCGUAGCGGGGUAAUUUGUCUUAAGGAAAGAGAUAACGUCUCGCCUUGGAUUAUUUUCCAUUUCUACUCCUUCUUAAUCCUUGUUUUGCGUAAUCGUUAUACCGAAACUCUGUCCAAAUUUCUAUUCAUAUAAAUUGUGUUUUGAUCACCCUCUUGUGGGUUAAAACUGGUCAAACAAAUAUAUCAAAAAUUAACCCUUACAUAGCCCUUUUUAUAAAUCGUAUCCAACAAACUUAAGACAAAUUUUUGUGUCUUUGUGGUUGGUUGUGGACAACCAUUACUUUGUUUAAAUAGUGCUUGUGUACUAUUCUUCUACUGAUAUUAUCAUCAUUUUGUUGAAUUUCUAUUUGUAUAGCAGAAAUGACUACCAUCGGGACUUCAUCAAGUCAAAAUGGUUCCAAUAAUAUAGUACCAUCCGUAGCCAUAUCGUUGCAUAAUACUACUCUCCUACAUGAGAAAAAGUUGAAAAAAUUUGCAGGAGUAGACUUCAAAAGGUGGCAACAAAAAAUAUUUUUUUAUCUCACCACUCUUAAUUUGACUAAAUUUCUAAAGGAGAUUGCACCGACUAUACAAGAAGGAGAAAAUAAUCAUGAAUUGAUUAUUGCUUUGGAUGCAUAGAAAUACUCGGACUUCCUAUACAAAAACUAUAUCAUAAACAAAUUGGAUAAUACACUAUAUGGGGUGUAUAGUUCAAAGGAAUCAACCAAGGAAUUAUAGGAUUCUUUGGAGACAAAGUACAAGACCGAGGAUAUCGAAACAAAGAAGUUCAUUGUUGGCAAAUUUUUGGACUACAAGAUGAUGGGUUCCAAAACCGUAAUUAGCCAAGUGCAAGAGAUUUAAGUUUUGUUGCACAACAUCCAUGCCAAGAAAAUGAAAUUAAGUGAAUCAUUCCAAGUGGCUGCCAUUAUUGAGAAACUCCCACCUAUGUGGAGAGAUUUCAAAAAUUACCUCAAACACAAACGCAAGGAAAUGAAUUUCGAUGAAUUGAUUGUGCGCUUGAGGAUUGAAGAGGACAAUCGAAAAACCGAAUGAAGGCCGGUUGAUCAAGAUGGUGCAACUUUUGUUGAAAUGGAACCAAAGGCAACAAAUAAGAAAUGAAAGGCUUCUAAUUAUGUACCGCGAAGAGACAAUUUCAAGAAGGCUAAGAAGUUCAAAGGGAAUUGUUACAACUGUGGCAAGGUUGAACAUCAUUCAAGUGAAUGUUAAACUUCAAAAAAGAAUGCUCAAGCCCACAUGGUUGCAAAUAACACUCUAUCCGAUGGACUGCAAUAAAUGAGUUUAUCUGCAGUAGUGUCUGAAUGCAACAUGAUUGGAAAUACUAGAGAAUGGUGAAUUGACACCGGCGCUACCCGCCAUGUCUGUGCAGACAAGGGGAUGUUCUCCAAUCAUCAAGAAUUGAAUUGGCAACAACUAUACAUGGAAAAUUCUGCAAGUUCCAAAGUUGAAAGACAAGACAAAGUCACUUUGAAGAUGACAUCCAGGAAAGAACUCAUCCUCAACAAUGUCCUACAUGUACUAGAUAUAUGAAAGAAUUUAGUGUUCGGGUCUCUACUUAGGAAGAAUGGUUUUAAACUUGUAUUUGUAUUCGAUAAAUUCGUAUUGUCUAAGAAUGAGAUGUAUGUAGGGAAAGGAUACAUGUGUAAUGAAAUGUUCAAGUUGAACGUUCUUACAAUUGUACCGAAGCAAGUCGUUAUGAAUAAAACUAUAAAUUCUGUUUACUUGCUUGAGCCUUCAUAUUUGUGGCAUAGUCGAUUAAGACAUGUGAAUUACAAAUUAUUGUGCAAACUAAUGAAUCAAAGUUUAAUUCCGACGCAUAAAAUCAAUCCUAAUCAUAAAUGUAAAAUAUGUGUUGAAACAAAAUUGGCUAAAACACUGUUCCAUUCAAUACAAAGAAAUACAACCCCUCUUGAAUUGAUCCAUAAAGAUGUAUGCGAUCUAAAUUUUGUACAAACUCGAGGUGGUAAGAAAUACUUUGUGAUAUUUAUUGAUGAUUGUACAAAGUUUUGCUAUAUCUUUCUUUUGAGAAGUAAAGAUGAAGUCUUGAUGCAUUCAAAACCUAUAAGGCUAAAAUUGAAACACAACUUGAAAAACGAAUAAAGAAUAUUCAUAGUGAUAGAGGAGAUGAAUAUGGGGCACAGUUUGAAGACUUUUCUUCUGAACAUGAAAUUGUUCAUCAAACAACGACAUCUUACUCUCUUCAAUCAAAUGGUGUUGCAAAACGCAAAAAGCGAACACUUAAAGAAAUGAUGAACUUCAUGUUAAUAAGUUCAAGUUUACCACAAAACAUGUGGGGGAAGGCUAUUUUAACGACAAAUAGUUUUCUUAAUAAAAUAUCUCUUAAGAAAAUGGAAGAGACACCAUAUGAACUAUAGAUAGAUCAUCCCCAUCCUACCAAUACUUGAAAGUGUGGGGGUAUUUGACUAAGAUUGAGGUACCUAAGUCUAAACAAGUGAAAAUCGAUCCUAAAAUGAUAGAUUGCAUAUUUAUUGGAUACGCCAAUAAUAGUAGUGCAUAUUGAUUUCCUGUACACAAAUCUGAAAUAAAAAAACAUACACGAAGGGACCAUAAUUGAAUCAAGGAAUGCGAUAUUCUUUGAAAAUAUUUUUCCUUGCAAAAAUAAGGAAAAUACGAGUUCUAACAAGAGAACAUAUGAAACUACCAAUGAAACUUCAAAUGAAGAAGAACCAAGGUGUAGUAAAAGGGCUAGGACUUCCAAGACGUUUGGCCCAGAUUUUCUAACCUAUAUGGUAGAUGAUGAUCCAAAGACUUUUAAUAAAGCAAUGUCUACACCGGAAGCACCACAUUAGAAAGAAGCUAUCAAUAAUGAUACAGAUUCUAUAAUGCAAAACCAGACAUGGGAGUUGGUUGAUUUACCUCCUGGUAACAGGCCUUUAGAAUGCAAAUGGAUAUUCAAAAAGAAAUUAAACCUUACGAAUCCAUUGACAAAUAUAAGGCUAGAUUGGUUGCUAAACGAUAUAGGCAAAAAAAAGGACUUGACUUCUUUGAUACCUACUCACCCGUGACUAGAAUCAAGUCGAUAAGGUUGUUAAUUGCAAUUGCGACAAUACACAAUCUUGAGAUUCAUCAAAUGGAUGUAAACACAGUAUUCCUAAAUGGUAAGUUAGAAUGGGAGAUUUACAUGGAGCAACCUGAAGGGUUCGUUUCUCCUAACAAAAAACACAAAGUGUUUAAACUUGUUAAAUCUUUGUAUGGAUUAAAAUAGGCUCCUAAACAAUGGUACUAAAAGUUUAACAAAACAAUGUUGUCAAAUGGAUUCAAGAUCAACGAAUGUGACAAAUGUAUAUAUAUUAAAUAUACACUGAAUGCCUAUGUAAUUGUAUGUCUAUAUGUGGACGACAUGUUAAUAAUGGGCAAUAGUCAUGAAAUAUUUUUUUAACACCAAAAAGAUGCUAACAAAACAUUUCGAUAUGAAAGAUAUGGGUGUGGCGGAUGUAAUUCUAGGGAUUAAAAUAUCUAGAAUGCAGGAUGGGAUUGUACUUUCACAAUAUCACUACAUAGAAAAAGUACUUAAGAAGUUUAACGUGUUUGAGGAAAGUCCUGCGAGAACUCUUCUUAAUCCGAGUAUGCACUUAGUCAAGAAUAUGGGAGAAAACAUAUCACAACUAAGGUAUUCACAAAUAAUUGAUAAUCUUAUGUAUAUUACAAACUGCACUUGACUGGAUAUUGCUUUUACGGUGAAUAAACUUAGUAGACUUACAAGUAAUCCAAACAGUGAUCAUUGGAAGGCUUUGACGAGGCUUCUAAGGUACUUGAAGUAUACCUUAACCUAUGGAUUACACUUCACAAAAUAUCCUGUGGUACUAGAAGGAUAUUUUGAUGCUAAUUGGAUAUUCGAUAUGAAGGAUUUCAAAUUUACUAGUGGUUAUGUAUUCACCAUUAGUGGAGCUGCUGUAUCAUGGAAAUCAACAAAGCAAAUGUGCAUAGCUUGAUCAACGAUGGAAUCUGAGUUUAUUGCUUUGGAUAAAGCUACAGAGAAGCAGAAUGAUUUAGAUAUUUCUUAGAAAAUGUUCCAUUUUGGCCCAAACCAGUACCUGCAAUAAGUAUACAUUAUAAUAGUCAAUCAGCAAUUGGAAAGGCUCGAAGUAGCAUGUAUAAUGAUAAGUCUAGACAUAUUCGUCGUAGACACAACACCAUUAAGCAACUGAUCUCAAAUGGCGUUAUCUCCAUAGAUUAUGUGAAAUCAAAGAAGAAUAUUGCGGAUCCACUUACGAAAGUUUGCCUAGAGAUCCAGUAUAUCGCCUAUCGAGAGGAAUGUAAUUAAAGCCUACUACGUAAGAGUUUUUGCAAUAGUAACCCUACCUUGUCGACUGGAGAUCUUAAGAUCUUGGUUCAAAAGGACAACUAAGUUGUGAAAAUUCCAUGAAACACUUAGAAAAUUAGAAUUCCUAACUCAUUCCUAUAAUACUAAAGUGUUUUCUGCAGAGUAGAUAGAGCCUAAGAUUAUCUUUUAAUGAUUUUUAUAUCUUGAUUAAGUCAAGUGGAGUAGGGUAGAAUACUCUUAAUAGGAGGUCACCUAUGUAAGUGUAAAAUGGAGCCGCUUUGAUAAGAAUUGUUUAAGGUUUAAAUUUUCUAAACACUUAUGAAACCAAUAAGGGUUCAGGGCCAAAAUGAACCAAGCCAUGAGAACUAAGUACAGAAUAUGGAAGAUAUCUGUGUGAGUACUGUUGUCUUGACUUACACUAAAGGCUGAGUGGUUUAAGACCUAUGGUUCACCAAUUAGCCUAAUGAGUCCGAUAAUAUUUCACUAAGGGAGGUUCAAGGCCAGAAGCUACCAUCCCUGAUGCAGUAUUUUUUCUCACCCUCUCUACAUUGCAUUAUAUCAUCGUAUUUGCAUAUGCGUACCCGAAUUCCAUUCAUGUGGAGGAUUGUAGGAAUUGGUUCAAAUAAUUAACCAAAAAUUGAAAAAUGAAAAGGUGUGUAAAAGUGGAAAAUGAAAAGAUGUGACUACGUAUCAACUUCGAUCAAAUAUUCGGACAUGAUCCGAUGGUCAAAUUACAAAAGUAAAUAUACCAAUUUAUUCUACUCAUCGAGUAGAUCGUUGUGGUAUAUUUGGAAUCUUGAAACCAAUUCUGGAUGAAUGAGAAUUAUGGACCAAAGUUUGAAGAAAUGAAGUGUUGCAACUUUUCGAAAGAAUGCAAGUUUUAGCCAAGUGUUGCAACUCUUUGAAAGGACGCAUGUUUUGGCCCACAUUACUUCAUUUGCAUCCUUUUUACAUCUAUAAAUAGAAUCAUAUGGACAUAAUUUUGGGUACACCAAUUGUAUUGAGAGCAUUCAUUCUCCUCUUACAAUUGUCUCCUUUCUAAUUCCAUAGCAUUUUCAUGCAUUUCUUUUAUAGAGGAAAAAUUCUGUCAAAAGUUCAUCGAUUUCUUGUGGUUUGAAAUGCUGCUACCACAAGUUGUGAAUCCAUUGUAUCUUGGAAGACAAGUAUCAUUCACCGUGAGCACCAUAGCUAGGCAAUUUGUCUUAAAGAAAGAGAUAACAUCUCGCCUUGGAUUAUUCUCUAUUUCUACUCCUUCUUAAUCCUUGUUUUGUGUAAUCGUUAUACCGAAACUCCAUCCAAAUUUCUAUUCAUAUAAAUUAUGUUUUGAUCACGCUCUUGCGGGUUAAGAUUAGUCAAACAAAUAUAUCAAAAACCAACUCUUACAUAACCCUUUUUAUAAAUCGUCUCCAACAGUAUAUGAUAUGGUCAUUUUUUUAUCAACGACGUACCAUGCUCGAGGUUGUUUCCAAUCAUCUUGGGAGUUUUCCCAAGGUGUCUGAUAAGUGUGUUUUUACACACUUAUUUAGAUCAUAAACAUGACUUCAUUACAAGCAAAAUAUUUAAAUUGUGACUUAAUCUCGUUGAAUUCAUGCAAUAUGGGUGUUUCUAUGGAAAUGAUGGAAUUCAGGAUAAAAGAGUCGAAAAAUGACUAAAAUGGAGCAAAUUGAUAGCUCAGGGACCAAAGUGCAAUUAUACAAAAGAUGGUCCGAAGGACAAAUCAAGGAAGUGAAUGAGCUAAGUACGAAUUUGGUGAUAUUAUGAGAUGAUGGAAAUAAAAGAAACAAGCAAAAAGUACAAAAAAUGAAUCAAACUGAAAGUUCGGGGACCAAGUUGUAAAUAAUCCAUAGAUGAGACGGGAAAUGGAAUGAAGAUUCAAGAGUGUUUGAGGUCAAUCAGAUGAGAAAAGGAGUCAAAGAGGUGAAAUAUGAUCGAAGUAUUAUCAAGUAUCAACUGUCAGGCGAAAAAGCUAUACUCGUGAUUUUUAGCCUCUACUUGAGAUCCAUUUUUGGCAUAGUAAAGAUCAGAAUUUGAGAAAUCCUAUUCUAACAAAAGUGUAUAUCUUUGAGUUUUCUGUCUAAUGAACUUUGAAUCACUUCAAUCGGAGAUCAUUUGAAAAAAUAAUGAUGAAAAUAUUAAAAGCUGUCCGGCGGAAAGAAUCGCAUAACUAUGCAGUCGCAUAGAAACCUCCCGAGAAUUUUUUUUCAAAAUUUUUUUAUUCUAUGCGAUAGCAUAGAAAUGUACUAUGCGGUCGCAUAGGUAUAUUCUGGGGACUGAUUCUGCAGCUUCCUUAUACGACCGAAACUUUUUUGGUAACCUAACUUUCGCACGAUAUAAAUACCAAAAGAUGUCCAAAAAGAGGCAGAACGUAUUGGAAGUAGAAGAACACUUCUUGAGAGGAUUUUGAGUGCAAGAACGAAGAUUUACACGAAGAACUUCAAGAUUUCUCAAGAUUUGAUAACUCAAAGAUGUCUUUUAUCCAAAAUUAGAUGUAUUCUUUUAUUUUAACCAUGUUAGGCUAGAUUUUCAUGUGCUAGGAUUUGCGAUGAACCUUAUAUUAUGAAUCCUUAAUCUUGAAUUUUAUUUAUUUGACGUUAAAACAUGUUUUUUUUUAAUUAUUGAAUGAUUGGCAUGAAUUUUAUUUUCUCUACAAUUAUGUGCACAAUAGUUGUAUGAGAUUUGUGGCUUGUUUUACCCUCGAGAGAUGGAAAAUAAGUUAGACAUUAUGUUAAUUGUCAGAAAGUUCGAUAGGGGAUAGAAAUGUACCGCUAUGCUUUACGUGAUCUUUAAAUAUUCAUAAAUGUUUAAUGCAUUUUUAUAUGUUCGCAUCCGUCAUAGAAAUAUAGUCAGAUCGCAUGUGAAAAUAAGUUUAAUUCUAUUCGAGAGAAUUGUUAAACAAAUUAGGAACAUUGGUCUUCAUAAUUGAAUCGUGUUGUCAAUUUUAUAAAAUUCGGAUUAAAGGGGAUUGAUAUAAGGUGAUUCGGGAUCCUAGUACGCAUUUCGUUAUCAUAUUUUUAUAAAACUUGCAUUUAGUUAUAAUCACGCAUUUAAUUUAGUUAAUUUAGGCUUUAUAUUUAUAAGUAUGUUAUUAAAUCAUAAUUUAAUUAGCAAAAAUAUCAAGUAUUUCUAUUGUUUCUGUUAAGGCGACGAUAGAUAAAAUUGAACAAAUCAAUCUCUGUGGGGGCAGUAUUCGGACUCAUUUAAUCCACUUUAUUAUUUGUUAACGAACCGUACACUUGCGGUACUUUUAAAUCGAAAGAAAUAAUUUCGUGGACAAUGUCCUCCUCGAGUUCCCUCAUCGGGAUAAAUUGACGCACCUGAUGGUUCCAUAUCACCUUGAAUUUUUAGCUUCGUUCCUUGCUCUAUCUCGAAAGACAUAUUCUAGUAGGACUCUACUCAAAUCUAUCCAACUCGAAACAAGAUUGGAUCCUAACUAGCUUAGAACUCCUACUCAUAUUGGAAUACUCAAUUUUUUUACAUCUCUUAAAUAGAUAAGGCUUCAAGUAUCAUAAUCGUAUAAAAAGUGUGCUACUUAUCUCUAUAAAUACACGUUCUAAUUCAUUAUUCAGAUAUGUUUUUACAUUCAAUUUAUAAUUUUACGCUUAUAUUUUUCCCUUUCGCUAACUUAAGCAUCAGAUUGGCAAUGGAAACACACAUCAAAGCCUUUGUUUUAGGUGCUGGAAAUUUUGUACACGAUCAUCCUCGUUCUUCAAGCUUAGGAAUAAACAUGGGACGAUUUUUUGUAACAUCAUUGGAGCCAUUUGUAGGAAUCGGGGUGGUUAACCACGAAGAAAUCAUGUGAGGAAAGUAGAUCAAAUAAUUUUCUGAAAAAUAUGAAGAAGAAGAAAUGAAUGAAGAAUAAGAUGAAUUUUCUGUCAAUGUCAAUUUUUCUAGACCUGGUGUUUUGUUCAUCACUGAACUUGGAAGAUAAGAUCAAAUUUAAAUAUCACCUUCGCACUCGAUUUGAUUGCAGUGAAUAAUUUAUUUAAACAUAAACUAUGUCUAAUCUUGGCAAUUUACAAUUAUUAGUUGCAGGAAAGACAAUCAAAAAUUGGAGAAGCAGUAAUUGGUUGAUUUGCAGGCUCGCCUAAUAAACAUAUACAGGCCCUAAUUCUGCUGUGAAAAGAGGAAGUUGGAAAAAAUGACAAAAUUUUUUAUUCAAGGAUGAGCAACUGGAGAAGAUGAUGGCAUCUCCUAGGUGUCCACUGUUGAUCUCGUUUUCGGUUAAGGCCACGCGGACAACAGAUACCAAACACACCUGCGAACACGUAGGCGAAAGUCCAACACGCUAAGACUCAUAAUGGGUUCUAGAACGAUCUAAAAGGGAGCGUGGGAGUAGCUGAAAGGCGCGAGACGACAAUGUUGGGGAUCCGACUAUGCAUUUGUAGAACGAUUGUACAAUAAUUAUCAAUCGUGACUUGUUGAACUUGUAUAUAAACUCGGGCGUAUUGCCAUAGAGUAAUAUGUGUAGUAAUUAUUGUUAUAUUGAAUCUUGCAUUAUUCUUACAAUGAGAGUAUAGGGGGUAUUUAUAGUAAUACGAGUUGAAUCGUAUCCCUCGGUUGGGAGUACACGUGACCUCAUCUUGUUAGUUUCUUAUCUAAUCCUUAUUUUUUAUCACCUAGCAUGCUAUAAAUUUAUUAAUUGCAGAGCCACUAUUAUAUUUGACAAGACAAGACAAUUGCACUCUAUGAUGAGCGUCCCAUCAAUCACUUAAAAAUGAUUCUUGUAUAAGACCGAAUCUCUUGAGAGAGGUGAUGGCAAAGGUGCUUCAGAGCUUCGACUUCAACAUAGGGACCUCGGUAUGAACCACCUCGGCCAAUAUGCUUCGGUCCUCAAGCAGUUGGGCCACGUCAGAAGCAAGUUGUUGUGUUAUUCGUUGGCCUUACGGCCUCGGCCUCCAUGCCACGUGAUCUGACUUAGGUGGGCCACGGAUCCUAGUGGGUCGAUCAAGUGUACCACUAUGUAACAUCACAGGCAAUUCCUGUGGAAGGAUCUGAUGAUGCUAAGCUUGAUAUGCAUACAGGCUCCAAGACAGGCGUGUGUCCGUAGAUGGAUGCAAAAUCAGGUUGUAAAGUCUUAAAAAAAAUUUCCAAAUGAGACUCCCAUGCCAGCUGCUUGCUAAAAUCUGUAAGUUAGAGAUCACCAUUGAAAAUGAUAAUACGUUGAUAUGCUGGAUGCAAAAAAAAAAAUCUUUACAUGUGAAAAUUUUACGCAAAAUAAAUAAAUAAAUAAAAUACUAAUUUAUAUGAUAACCAAUUAUGUGUAGUUCGAAAUUUUCACUUGUAACGAAAUUUUUGAAAUAAUUCUAAGCUAAUACACAAUAUCAGGUCAUACUGAUUUCAAAAAUUAAUACAACAAUUUUGUUGAAUGAUAUUAAUUGUAGACAACCCUAGCAUGGUUCGGGUUGGGUUGGUUUUGAGUCCAACCCGAAAUUGAAACCGAAAUCAACUUGAUCGGUUUGGAUGAAUUCCAACCCAAAUCGACUUAAUCUAGUCGUUGAAAUCGAACCAAACCAAAUCGGUUGGGUUGGUUAGUCAGUCUGGAAUUUGAGCUAGUAAAAAAAAAAUUCUAACUAUAUUGGGUUAUUUUUUCAUUUAUAUACAAUUUUUUAUUGUAUAAUGCAUGUCAAUAAUAUAUAAUGUAAAUGGUAAAGAAUCGAUCUCUCCAAAAUCAUCAUAUAUAUAAAUCUGAUAGUUAUCAAUAAACAAUUACACGAAAAUGAAAGUAAGUCCACAAUCUAAAUUCGAAAUUUAUAUCAAAACUUCUUCUUCUUGCUUUCUUUUCUUUUGAUAUUUAGAGUUUUUGUAGAAAAAAUAUAGACGGUAAACAAAUUAUUUGAGACAAAAUUAUAUUUGUGUUUUUAUUAUUUUGUUCUUCACAUUUAAAAAGAUGAAUUUUAAAAUACGAAAAAAAAUGUAUUUGCGAAUUGGGUCGAUUAAUUGAUGGGUUGAUUGUUUCUAAUGAAACCAAUCCAACCCGAAUUUUUAAUGGUUAAAAUUAAUCAAACCAAAUCAAUUUUUUUAUUCAAACCCUAUGUUAGAACUUAAAAUUUAUGCAAUCAUGUAUGACCUAUGAUUCCUAUUGGAUUGGAAAUUAGUCAACUCUAAAUAUGACUUAUUGAUCCUCGCCGCACCUAAUGAUCUAUGUGGUAAAUUGAGAUUAUGGGUUAAGCCUGCAAUAACUUGUGAACAAAAUUUUUGGUCUAUUCUGAUGUAUGACUUCGAGAAGUCUGUUUUCAAGUUCAUAAGAUAAUUGUUGGUUCUGUUAUUAUUUGUAGCAGGCUCCAAGCACAAUUGAACUUAAAAAAUAAAUUAAACUUUCUUGGUAAAAUUUUGGCUAAAAUAUUAUAAUAUACAAUCUGCUAGAGAAUUGAUAACAUUUUCGUGAAAGUCUUAUUGUUAUAUCACUUUGUUAUAUAUGGUCUCAUUGUUUACAUGACAUCAACUAUGAUCGGCUCAAUAAUAUACAAAUUGAACUCACUAUGAAAUUGAUCGAUCUUCACCGACUCGACCGGUGGUUUUGAAAGUUGUGUCAAUUUUCUUGGGUGAAGUAGUAGUUUGCAAAAUUGCCACAAAAUCGAUAUAAAAAAUGGUCGCGUAAAGUCUUUUUAAUAGAAUGCCUUGCUCAACAUUGGAGUUGGAUCGUGUAAUGGACACUGACAGAUCCAGCACCCGACGAGACCCCUGCUACCGCGCAUGCUGAAUUUGUCGGGAGCCUUUUUUUUUUGGCUGAGAAUAGACAAAUAUAUAGGAUAUAUUACUGAUAAGUCAUUUUUCUUUCAGCCAUCCCUUCUAGUUAAGUUGGUUAGCGCUUGCAUGUGUUUCUUUGAUGUUCUGGGUUCGAAUUUGUCCACCAUUUUAUUGUAUAAAUUUUUAGUUAUACAACUUUUACCAAAAACCAUUGAAAUAAUGAAAGGGCCAACGGGGAAUCGAACCUGUGAGCUAUUCUUAGUUAUAAAAGUUUGACCAUUAUGACACUUGAUAAUUAUGAUAUAGAGUUCAACAAAAUAAUAUAUGUAAGAUUUUAGUGGGUUUAAUGCAACUGUAAAAAUUCUAACACCGUGCUCUUUUUUUGAAUUAUACAAAACAAUAAUGUUAUUUGGUGGGUACGAUUUAUUCUUAUAACAAAAUUAUAUAUAUUCAACUUCAAUAAAAUAAUUAUUUUAUUUAAAUUUUAAACCUUGUUUGAUUCUCAUUUAGUUCAAAAUACAUUUUUCUUUCCCUUAUUUUAAAUCAAAUAUUCUUUAACAAUUUAAUAUUACACGAAAAUUCAAGAUUUUUUAUUAUUUUUAAUUACACAUUCUUUAUCAAAUCACUAUUCCAAAAUGUAUUUUUUUUUGCAAAAAAUGACAUCAAACGAGCCCUUAAUCUUUUAUUACGAUCACCCGUGCUGGCUCAACAUCUUGAAUUCGUCCCUGGUAAUGGGUUGUCAUAGUUUUCAAUAUUCUUGCUGUCGGUUCAUUGUGUCUCUCUAAUUGGGAAGAAAUUGUUGAAUUUAUAUAUGAGGAUAACACCAUAAAAUCAAAAUUUUGUCUUGAGGUUUGCAAAUGCUACUGAAAGUAAGAAUCCCAAUAUACACACAAAAUGCUCAACCAAAUGCCCAACCGACAUUGGUAAAAUUAAAGGUUCGGUGGGCUCGUAAUUUUCUCAUUAUUGAAUGUGAGCUUUAGCUCAUGGUUUUCUUACUAUUAAAGGUGAGUCUAGUUCGUGAUUUUCUUAUUAUUGAAGUCAAGCCUUAGCUCUAGCUUUCUUAUUAUCGAAUGAGAGAUCUAGCUCAUGUUUUUUUUCUUAUUAUUGAAAACGAGACUUAGCUCGUGGUUUUCUUAUUGAAGGCGAGCCAUAGUUCGUAGUUUUCUUAUUAUUGAAGGCAAGUCUUAACUCUGGCUUUCUUAUUAUCGAAUGAGAGCUUUAGCUCAUGGUUUUCAUAUUAUUGAAGAUUAGCCCUAGCUCAUGGUAUUGAAAGCGAGCUUCAGCUCGUAGUUUUCUUAUUAUUGAAGGCAAGCCAUAGCUCUAGCUUUCUUAUUAUUGAAGGAGAGUUUUAGCUCGUGAUUUUUAUUAUUAUUGAAGACAAGUCUUAACUUAUGGUAAUUUUUUUUAUUUUUUUUAACUGAAGAUAAGCCUUAACUCAUGGAUUUCUUAUUAUCAAAAGUGAAAGGCUUACCCCGUGCAAGCACUCAAAGCCUUUCCUAGGAGCAAGCACCUCAGAAGCUUUGCCCCAUAGCAAACAUUCAAAUCUUUGUACACGAGCAAGCACCUCAAAAUCUUGUCCCGUGCAAGCACAAAAAACCUUGCCUAUGAGCAAGCACCUCAAAGUCUUUUCCCUACCCCCGUGAAAAUACCUUAAAGCCUUGCCCCAUUGCAAGCACUCAAGCUUUUCCCAUUAGCAUACACCUUAAAACCUUGCCCCGUGAAAAUACUCAAAAACUUGCCUACGAGCAAGCACUCAAAGCCUUGCCCACGAACUAGCACCUCAAAACCUUAUCCGUACAAACACCUCAAAGCCUUGUCUUGUUGCAAGUACUCCAAGCUUUGCCCACGAGCAAACACCUCAAAGUCUUGCCCUUGAGCAAACACCUCAAAAAAAUCUUACCCCGUGCAAGCAUGCUUACAAAUACUUCGUACACUUGAGCAAAAAUUAGUCCUAAAAAUCAUCAAGUAAAAUGGUCGAUCUUAUAAGCUCGAAGCUUUCUUUCCUAGAUCUAUAUGCUUUGGGCCUAUCAACACAUCCUUCACUCAACCUCAAGGAAUCAACACUCAACCUAAACAAUUUACAUCUCAUUUUCGAACCUUGAGCAUUCUAAACAAUAUUCUCGAGUCUCGAACAUGGAUGCACGAGUGUCAAUGAUAUGGUCAUUUUUUAUCAACCCCGAAAAACAAUUCUCGAGGUUGUUUUUGAUCAUCUUGGGAACUUUCCCAAGGUGUUUUCCUCGAGUUUUCUUGCCCGACUAAAUUGUUGCAUGUGAUGAUUCCACAUCACCUUGAGUUUUUACUUUUGUUCUAUUCUCUAUUUCAAAAGACAUACUCUAGUAGGACUUUACUUCUAUCUUCAAACUUAUCCAACUCCAAUGAGAUUGGAUCCUAACUAGCUUAUACUCCUACUUAUAUUGGAAUACUCAAGUCUUUUACAUCCUUUAAACAGAUAAUGCUUCAACUAUCAUAAUCCUAUAAAAAGCGUGCUACUUACAUCUAUAAAUAUACGUUCUAACUCAUUAUUCAGGUAUAUUUUUACAUUCAAUUUAUAACUUUACACUUAUAAUUCCUCUUUCGCUAACUUAAGAAUUGAAGGGACAACGAGGAUACACCUCGACGGCUUUGUUUCAGGUAUCAAAGAUUUCUAUGUAAUCAUCCUCAAUCGUUAAGCUUGGGAAUCAAAAUAUAGCGAUUUAUUAGUAACAUCAGUAUGUAUCAGUGUUCUAAAAAGCGUAAUGCGUGGCUAGGCGUAUAGGCCAAGCUUCACGCAUUACGAGCCUAAGCGAAGCCUAGGCGUUAAAAAGCGUGUUUUAAUUUUAAAUUUUAUUUUAAAUAGUUAAUCAUUGUAAAAGACAUUUAAUAAUUCAAAUAAUACAUUCCAAACAUCUAAAAUUAUAAAAUAUUGCAUUUACUUAAUAAUUUCUACAAAAAGAUAAGUUUCAAAAUUAUAAUUACAUAACGGAUAGCUUGUGGUUUAAAUCUUAUCUAGCUCUUUAUCGGAUUCCAAUUCAAAAUCUUCUUCUUCAUCCAAUUCGUCCUCUAUGUCGUCCGAUACAAAAUCAUCCUCAUCGGGCUCCCUUAUUUCAUUUUGAUCAUUUCUUGUACCUCUUGUAGGUUGUGAGAUAUCAUUCUCCAACCUAUUAUUUUCCUCCUCACCCUCAUCAUUACAACCCUCUACAAUCCAAGAUUGUGCAUUAGUAGCAUCACUUGCUAAUAAAGUCUCUAUUUUGGCCUUUCUCUUCUUUUUGUUCAUCAACCUUGCAUUAAAUUGGACAUAAACAAGAUUGUUCAUCCUCGUAGUAUCAAGUCUAUUCCUUUUCUUGGUGUGUAUCUACAAACAAAAAAAGAAAAGAAACAAAAAGAAAGGUACAUUUAAUGGAGCAUAGCAUAUUCAAGUAAUUAUUCAUUGGCCAAAAGAAAUGAGUUGUGUGCAGCCUAAUGAGUACUUACCCCUUCCAAAGCACUCCAAUUUCUCUCACAACCCGAUGAACUAGUAGUCAAACCAACUAUCCUUUUUGCCAUUGUCUAUAAAUUUGGUGCUUCAUUGCCAUAGAAAUCCCACCAACUCACUAAUACAUAUAAAUGAAAGAGAAAUAUGUUACAGGGUAAAUUCAAAUUUAAUGAAGAGAUAAAGUUAGGUAUAGAACUUAGUCGGAUUGUAGUUUGCAUCAUUGUUCUCACAUCCACUUAUUGCUAGCAUUUUUCCAAAUGAACCUUCUUUUUGAACAUAUUUUUGCAACUCAAUUUUUACCACAUGAUGUUGCAUUUGAUCAUCAAGAAAGAAUUUCUCAACACAAGCAAUCAAAUUAUUUAUAAUCAAUUGGUCAUCUUUGAUACUUGGAUUCUUGAAAAAAUAGAAACGGAUUCAAAAAAUAAGCUGUUGUAUGAAGUGGACUAUCAAAGCGACCUUGCAUUUACCAUUAAUAAUGUCUAAGAUAGGCCUAUAAUCACACUCCUCCUUCAAUGUCCUUUUAAUGUCAUCCUUUGCCUUUAGUAGCUCUCCAUAAACAAAGCCCAUUGAAGGCUUUUCUUCUCCAUCAACAAGUCUAAGCACUCUCACUAGUGGAGUAAACACUCUCAAACACAACUCUAUCAUGUUCUAAAAAUCAUUCGGAACAACAAUAUCAAAUGCUUCUUUUCUUUUUUUACUCUUAGACCAUUUAGUGUUAUCCCAUUCAUUGCUAGUCAUCAUACUUCUCAACUCUUGUUUUUUUCAAGCAAACUUUGCAACGUUAAGAAAGAAGUUGCAAAUCUAGUAACUCCCAGCCUAACUAUCUGUUUUUUUUUUUUUUUGUGAACUUUCUCAUCAAAGAUAAAGUCUUGUGAUGUGCAUAAAUGAAAAUAGUGAAGGAUUUUGCUUUGUUAAUCACUCCCUUGAAGCUAGGAAGUUUAGAGAUUCCUUCAAGCAUAAAGUUUAAAGUGUGAGUAGCACAUGAUGUCCAAAACAUGUUAGGCCUUUCUAAUUCCAACAAUUUUGCGACGGCCAUAUUAUUGGAAACAUUGUCGGUUACAAUUUGAACCACAUUUUCAACCCCAACAUCUUUAAUACAUUCAUUGACAUAGUCAAAUAUGUAUUGACCGGUAUGAGCAUCAUUUGAAGCUUCCUUUGAUAAAAUAAAUGUGGUCCCCAAUUUACAAUUCACACACAAAUUCGUGAUGCUUCUUCUUUUUCUAUCACUCCAAGCAUCGGUCAUGAUUGAACACCCAUUAUUUUUCCACUCUUCUUCUUGCUUCUUUAAAGUUUCUUUUGUCCUCUCCACCUCUACCUUCAAAAGUGGCUCCCUUAGUUGGUAUUGGGAAGAAUGAUUGUAAUCCGGGCCAUAUUGACCAAGAGCUUCCACAAAUAGUUUAAAACUAUCAUUGUUAAUGGUAUUGAAAGGAAUUCCAGCUUCAUAAAGCCAUCUUGCCAAAUAUUGAUGAACCUCUAAUAACCUUUUCUUAGAAAUUGCAUCAUUCAUAUUUUGUUGUCUCAAUUUCUUACUUGCAUUUAUAGAAGCGUCAUUGACAUUGGUAGAGCUUGCAAAUUGAUCUAUGGGUCCCACAUUAAUAGGCCUUUUCCUAGUCUGUCUUUUAAUAAUCGAAAUUUCAUUAUCUUCUUCCUCCUCUAGCUCCUCAUCUAUUGUAGGCAAAGAUAUACCCACAUCUUCCCUCAACCUAGCAUCAUUCACUAGCUUCUCUAAUUUUUUAGAUUUAUUCCCUUGAAUCGCCUCUCCACACUUUGCUUUUUGUUCUUCAUUUGCCCUAAGACAUGAUGCCACACCGUUUCCCUUGAUUCCCGCCACGUGAAUUUUAUGCCUAUAAAUUCCUCCCUUAAUAAACUUAUCACAUAACGUGCAUUUCACAUUAUUAAGAUUUUUAGGAUCUACCAAAAUCGCAGUUUCCCAACCAACAUCUCCGGAAUCUCUUUUUAGUUGACUUGCAUGGAAUUUAGAUGCUGUUGAGGAAUCAUCUUCCUCCAUUGGUUCCUAAAAAAAUAUGAACAAUACAAAUUUUUAUUAUUCAUAACAAACUAAUAAUAACUGAAAUUAGACACAAAAGCUGAAGGCCUAAAAGCAUAGGAAAGUGGAAACACAUGAAAAUUUAGUUACAUAAACACUGGAAAAUUUAGUUUACUCUUCCAUGUUAUUAAUGUAACUGAUUGAAAGACAGAAAAAUUUCAACAAUGGCAGCAAAUGGAGUUUAUCAAGUGCCCACAUAAAUGAAAUUUCAGCAACAAUUUCAAUUUCAACACACACAUAAAUGAAAUUUAUCAUGCACCCACAUAAAUUUCAGCAACAAUUCCAAUAGUUCAUGGCAAGAACUUGUAAUUUCAGUCAUGUAUUUGCAGCCAAACUCAUGAAAAAUAGUAAAAUACACAACCAAGUUAAUUAUAAACCCCCCACUAAAAAAGGGGCAAAGCUACAAAAAGCUGAAACUGUAAUUUUUCAUGGCAAGGUUCAAAAGGCCGAAACUGUAAUUUUUCAUGGCAAGAACUGUAAUUUCAGUCAUGUAAUUGCUAGCAGCCAAACUUAUGAAAAAUAGUAAAACACACAACAAAGUUAAUUAUAAACCCUACCACCAAAAACGGAGCAAAUCUGCAAAAAGCCGAAAUCAAAAAGACAAAAACCCACUAAUAUAAUCAACAAUAUUACCAGGAAAAUGUGGGCCAAAGAUGUGGUCUUACUGGAGGAAUUGCCGAAAUGAUAAUUUUUGAAUUUUUGUGUUGAAACUCUUGAUUUUUGAAACCGUGGUUUGUAAUUGUUGUAGACUUGUAGUAUGUUUGGUUGUCUAUAAACAAAAUAAAAAAAUAACUAAGCCCGCCUAGGCGUGUUUAAUAACUAAGCGCACCUAGGCGCUCAUUAAGUGGUCAACAUUGUCGUUGACCGCUUAACUCUCACUUAGCCCAUAGGCGAGACUUUUCUACCACGCUUCAUGCCUAAGUGCGCUUUUUAGAACACUGGUAUGUAUAGAGAGAAUCUCUCUACAUGUAAAUCAUUCCAUGUAUAGAGUAUCCUAUACAUGUAGAGAGAGAGACUCCUCCCUGUAUCUAUAUUGUGUUUUAUAGAGAAGAGAGAAAGAGGAAUAGAGAGGCGGGGGGUUCAUGGGGAGCAGUGGAAGGAGGUUUGAUAUGGAAGGUUUCAAUAUUAAUAUCUACACCAUUGAAUUGAUUUAAAUUAAGGUUCAUUUUUCUAUUUAUUAUUUUUUUUGUUCAAAUCCAUUUGUCAAAAACCUUGGUGAGUGGAACGCUCCCUUUCAUAAAAUACUAGAUGAUAAUUUAUAUACUAUAUAUAAUACAAAAAUAAACCAAAAUUACUUACUUCCAUAAUCUCUCUAAUUUUUGUAAUUGAAACACUUCAAGUCUUCAAUAGCCGUUAACACGCCCAUAAUAAUUAACAACGUCCCCGAUUGCUAAAUAUUUUACCAAAAUAAAAUUGUUAAAAUUGUUGAUAUUUCAUGUUCGAUCUAUUUUAAUUUAAGUAAUUGAACAUAAAUAAUAAUAGUCGAUAAGCCACUAUCAUAUUAAUUAUAAUCCCUAGAAAUUAGCUAGAUUUAAACCCCAAAUAAAAAUAGCCAAUAAACCACUCUUAUAUUGAUUAUAAGAGCAUCUUUAAAAUGUUCUUUAUCUAUAAAGAGCAUCUUAUACAUAAUAGAGAACGUCUUUAAAUUUAGAGAGUAAUUUUUCUUAUACGCUCCAACAAACUCUCUAUUUUGAUUCUUUAUUUUGUUUUUUCCAAUGAACACUUGAUAAUUUCUAUACAUAUUUUAUCUAAGUAUAAUUUUUUAUAUAUAAAUAACCAAUCAAUUCACAUGUAAUUUGAAAAUUUUAAACUGUAGAAUAUUGAAAUUUGUAAUUUAUUAAAUGCAAUCAUUAUACAUUAAAAAUAGAGAGUGGGGUUGACUCUCUAAAUUUGGAGAGUUAAACACAGUCUCUAUUUUAAAAAGUUAAAAUAGAGAAUUUCUUGAAACUAAUUUUUAAGUAUUGACUCUCUAAAAUAGAAAGCAUUUUGUGUUUAAAGAGUGUCUUGGUGAUGCUCCAACCUCUAGAAAUUAGCUAUAUUUCAACCCAAUGAAUCAAAAAAACUGUAAUUGGUAAACAAUUUAAAAUUAUUUUUUGGAAUCUUGAGACAAAAUUAUUCAUAUUUUAUUUUGUUUUUAAACUUUGAGCAAUAAUAUUUAACAAGUCUUUUUUCACUAUUCAUGUUAGUAAAUUUCAAAUUACUACUUUGACGAUUUUACCCUACAAGCACGAAUCAAAUUGGUGAGAAAUCUCACAUAGUCAUAUGACAAUAUGUCCGUGACAUAUUGUUGUGAAUUUUCAUUUUAGCGUAUAUGAGGAAUUCAAGCAUUUGAACUUCUAGGUCCAUUAGAACUACUUAAUAUGGAUUGUCACGAAACAUUUCUUCACUAUUUGGUCAUAUAUAAUUAUCAUCUUUGUUAUUCCUAUGAUGCAUAUCAUAGUUUGUUACAACAUCGCGCGUUAAUAUUUUAGAUCAAGUACACACCAUUUCGUGAUGCAUAUGUGAUUAUUGAUAUGAAAUAAGAUGAGCCAAAUUGUACAUUUUUUAGAUUAUUGGCUUGUUACAAAUUCUUAAUAUUGAUAAGUUACAUGGCUUCUAACUUGUUGCGACUUAUUUAUCUAAAAUGAAGUGCAAUGUCACAUCACAUAGAUUGGCAUAUUAUGUCGUGUGUUACAUACUAAGUUUCUUUGACUUUAAUACCAUGUUAUAAAGUGCGUAUGGUUACAUAUUACAAAUGAUACUUGUUUGAUAAGAUAUAUGACAUUACGCGUUACGAAGAAAGGCAUUGCUUUAGACAGGUUUUGCUUUAUUUUGAUUGCUAUAAUUUUUUACUUCGAGUUAUUACAUGUAGAGAGUAAUUGCGAGAUCAUGGACGUUCCGUAACAACACUGCAAUUGAAAAUAUAAUUGCACUUCAAUCACUAUUGUAAUUGAGCAUAAAGAUUUUUAACAAGUUGAGAUCUAUUACUACAAAAAUGUAUCUAGGAACAAAAAAUGGCAAAUAAAUUGGUUCAAUUCUUUAAGUUCAGUGUUUGAUUAGAAUAUUUUAAAAAGUUUAAGGACCAAUUCUCAUCAUAGCAAAAUUCGAGGGACCAUUUUACAUAAAAAAAUUCCAUGGAGUGAUUGGUAACAUUCAGAAUGUUCAGGGACCACUUUUCUGCAUGAUGAAGCUUUGAGGACUAAUCUGUAGAUUUCCAAAACCUAGGGGCAGACUUACACUAUUCAAAGGACCCAACAUACAAAAUUCUGAUAGUAUAGGUAUUUUCACAAAAUUUAGAUAAAGGCAUGUUUGGCACCUGAGAUGAAAUUUAUAUUAAGGUAUCAUCAACCAUUUCGGAAGCCACUAGGUCAGAGUGGGACCCUACUUUCAAGAUGCGCUGGAGUGAUUGGUUUUUUAAGGGGUUUCAACUAAUCUUCAGAGGAUCUCGACCAAGAUGAAAAGAGUAGAAACAAGUAUAAUGUCAAAUUGAGAUAGUACCAAACACAUCAUUAAUAUUAAGUCGACCGAGAGUGAAAACAACAAGAGCGCGAAUUGUUAGUAGCAUACAAGUUUGACAUCAAAGGUUUCAUCCUCCUUCGAUAAAUGCGUCCUACCUCAGUUUUUUGUUUUAGUAGGAAGGUUAGACAUUAUGCGUAUGAAAAGUUAUGGUAACGAGACAAACCUGAACAUCCUUAGUUUCUAUGGGCAUUACCUUUUUUAUUUUGAUCGAUAAAUUUGAAUUACUAUACAUCAAAAAUCAUAGACAAGUACUCCAGACCUCCACAGGUAAUCAAUACAAGUAAAAGUACACUGACAUACCCUGACUAACAAAGAUUAAUUCCAAGUAUAAGUACAUCGGAUAUAUUCGGGUGAACGACAUUCUUAUAUUUUAAGGUAAAGGAGGAACAAAAUGUUUGGCAAAGCUAUCAAAUAAUUAAAAGCUGAUAAAAAUAAAGAUCAAUCUGAAAUUGAUGAGAAGAAUAAGUAAGGUUCUCUUGGUCAUUAAAGGUCAGAGAUCGGGCCCAAAGAUUAAUCACCUUAUAAGAAAUUAUAAGUUUUGCCAAACACGCAAGAGGCCGACGGACAUAGCUAGAAGACAGAAUUUAUAGGUGAUAACAAAGACGAGACAAAGCUGUUCUUCGUGUUAACAAAGCUUGAGAGUACUGAAAGGAAUCUGCAGAGAGGCUGCCACCAUAUAGAAACAAAAUUCUUCCAAGAAAAUUGCUUUUUUCACAUGCUUUACACACACACUGCUCUCAGUUAUACCCACAAUUUUAAACCAAAUUCAAUUCUCAUGUACUUGUAUUAUCCAGAGCGGUGUCGCUUCAGCCCCCUGAUAAUCAACUCCGCCGUCCGCCGCCACAACCGCCGUCGCCUUCUCAAAUACUCCCCAAAUCCCACUUCCACGCCCAUCAUUUUCAAGCCAUCUGCUGACACCCUCCAAAUAACCAUCAGGCCCUCUAAUUCCGUCAAACAAUUAUUAGACCAGUCCGAAAUUAAACUGAAUCGAUUGAUUGAGUGUGGCCGUGAGGCGUUUGAUGACUUGAAAACAUUAGUCGUUGUCGAUGGUAGUACUGGAGGGGUUGUAAUUUCGUGUAGGAGGUCCACAGUUGAGUUCUUGGCGGCGCUGUUUAUGUCCAGUUUGGUAAUUGUAUUCAUUUUCAAGGGUUUAUUUAGACGAAGAAAAGGGGGCGGUGAAGUGUUGGUGUAUAAGAAAGAUCGGAGUCUGGGAGGGAGAGAAGUGCUAGUAGGGAAGAGGGAAGGGAACUGGGGUACUACCCCUAGAACGACGCCAUUGAGUUUGAAUGACUAUAGUGAUGAUAAAACAACGAAAAAUACUAGAAUGCGGAAUAGGAGGAAGGAAGAGUUGCCUCAAUGGUGGCCUCAGCUACUGAAUUCGAGUUCGAAUGUUAAUGAAAUGAUUAAUAAGGAGGAAUAUCAGAGAAUGGCUAAUAGAUUGGUUCGAGGUUGGUUAAAAGAAAUUUGCUCUUUGUUCUUUCUUAGACUUUGAUUUGAUUAUUUUGGUUGGUAUUAUGUUUGAUGGAGAAUGUUUCCAUAGUUUCAUGAUUCUUAGUUUACAUGGGCUUUGAUACGAUUUUAAUUCUUUGCUGCAUACAAAGUUCGUUAGGCUUAGAUAUUGUUGGUUUGAGACUUUGAGUAGUACAAAUAUGUAGGUUUGGGAAUAUGUUUCGUCGAUACAAGGUCACAAUAUAUACCGAAAAUUUCCUUGAAAUAUGUUUGAAUUUGAUUAAAAUGUGGUUGUUUAGUUCAUGAUGAUAUCGUUUGGAAAAAAGGGAAUUGCACUAUGUGUCAUUCUUCGGGCUAAAUUAUUAAGUUGAAACUCAUUAUUAGUAUGAAUCUGGUUCUCCGUCCUCAUGAUAGUUUAGAAAACCUGCACUCCAGAACCCCGUGAUGUGGUGGAUUGAGUGGCAAAGUUGCGUUUUGGGUGGGAGUGGUAGUGCUAGUGUGAGGAGGAGAAGGGCUGUAUCUGAUGGUUGCUUGAUGGUUCUUCGGCUAUUUAAGGAGCUGUUGGUGGUAUUAUGUCUAUCAGUGACGGUGGUGAUGUGUGGUUGUGGUUUGUUUAUGGCAUUGGAAAAUUGGGUUGCAGUGGUGGCUGUGUGAGUUUGCAAGAGAGAUUAAUUUUCUUUUCUAUCAAAUUACCAAUAAUAGUACGAACCAUACAUCUUAUAUGUACUCUUGUUAGAUGAGUCAAUUCAUACAAAAGAUAAACUGUAUUAUGACUUGGAUUCCUAAAAAUACAGGGACCUGUUUGGCCUAUAUGGGAAAAAAAUGUGUGUGUGUGUGUUUUUUUGUUUUUUGGCCCUGAUUACAUAACUUUCUCAUUAUAUAUUAUUGUUUAUUGAGGCUCAAGCAUUGGCAAACUAGUGUAGAUGCAUCAAUUUGUUGGCAUAGCAAGUUGUUUUUUCGUACCUUUUUACUCUUACAGUUGUUAUUUUGGUUUGAUCAAGUAUUGGUUGUUAUCACUUCCCAUGGUUGUCUGCAUGGUAUCAGAUGUUCUCUAGAAGGGGAAGUUAUUUUUUUAACAAUUAGUGAGUGCUCAGAAAAUUUUGAAGCAAAAAACUAGAGAUAUAUACACUACAAUGAAGGCACCAGAUAAGAGAAAUAAUAAUUUAAGAAAUCAGUUAUCAGAUUUAAUCCAUCAUAAAAAGCGUUGUCUGAUUAUGAAAUACUAUCUUCAAACUAAGUAACUUUAAGAGUAUGUCAGAGUCCCUUUUUUUUCUUUUUUUAAAAAAAAAAGGGAUUUGUAAUAGUGAUUUUUUCGGAGAUAAGUAGUUAAGAAAGUAGAUAAAAGUUUUAAGUUUACGUGCAAAUUUAAUUUAUUGGAAAAAUGUGUGUUUGAAAAUGAGUUUGAGAAAAAUGAGUUUUUUAGAGAAUGGGGGUUGAACAGCGGCUAAGUACAUCUAAAUUUGCAUAAAAUUAUGUCAUAUAUAACUCAAAUGUCAAAUAAAAGCAACAGCGAGGAUUUACCAAAAAAUGUUUGGUUUCCCCUUUAUUAUCUCAAAACAAAAGUAUUCCUUAAAUCUUAUUGCCACGUGAAGCCUUUGUUAAAGCUCACUUGCUCGCGCCGCUCUCUCUCUCUCUCUCUCGCGCACGCGCACGCGCACGAAGUUUCUACCCAUAAGAAUGUAUUGUUUAGGUCAUACUUUAAUAAUUAUAUAAGUUAUCAAAGAAAAGAAACACAUUUAUAUGUACUAGCUCAUUUACCUUUUUGCCCUUUUCUCACUAAACAUUCUUACCCAAAAACAAUGUUUAACGGAAAAUUAUAAUACAAGCUGCAUCACAAUGUCAUUCAAUUCCCCACCUCAUGUGCAGUUUCUUAUGUGCAUGAGAAGUAAAUCUUAAGAUUACUUAAUAUAUGAAAUGGGCAUGGCCUGUGGACAGCUACGAGGAUCUUGCAUGGAAGGAUUUUUGUUCAUUCUGAAUUAUAGCUGUUUUAGAUGUUUGUGUUGUAUAUUUGAUCUUUAUAUUUCAAUAUAGCCCAUUUAAGAAUAUUGGUUUUGUGCUUUUCAUCUAAAUUAGCUUUUAAUUGCCAGCAAUGAUGGACAACAAAAUGGCUGGGAAGGACAUUUCUGCGAAUGAUAUAAUUCAAGUUAGUAAAUUCCAACCAAUUUUGUUUUAUAAUAUCGAUAUAAUUGACUUUACUUUAGUCUUGCAACUUUUUCAUUAAUAUGUUAUAAAAAUUACAAAAAUGAAAUGAUUCCGUUUGAAUAGCAAAGGGUGAUUAAUCAAGCCCGACAAGGGGUUUUCCAACAAGCCUUACAAGGAGCUUUAGGAACUAUGAAUAGAAAUUUAAUCUUGGAAAUAAAGCAUCCCACCAUUUUUUACUACCCAGGGCUAUGAAGUCUUCGAUGGAGUAAAAGUUUAUCAUAUUGCUUCUUAGCGUGGAUUAAGAUUUGUUGGUAGGGUUGAACGGCAUGUGCUUUUAGGCAUUUAUUGUUGAUCUAUUAUUUGGCGUUCAAUGCACAUAAAGGCACGAUAACGUAAGGGAGUGCUGGAAUGGUUCUAUUUUUGUUUCAGAGAGGUACUCAUGUUUAAGGACAUUGUAUAAUGAGCAUUUGAUGGCAUAUAGGAAACUAUCCUUGCAUUUACAUUUUGAACUUUGCAGUACUAAUCUCUCUCUUCCGCAAUAUGAUAUCAAAAGUUUCUCUUUAUAUAGUAGGAUCCAGUGUGUUGACCGUGCUGCAAAUAAAGUUUUUGAUUUGUCAAUGGAACAAUUGGAGUUGGACUGUAGUAUCCAACAUGUGGUACCUAAUUAUUGCAACAAGUAGAUUCUGAGGAAUUUUAUCUUUGUGGUUACUCCAAAAUAAGUUCCAUUAAUUAAAGCUAACUUAGUUAAUGACCGUGUCAUAACCAGAAAUUUCUGUGGAAACUGCGAGUUAAAUGUGGAACAUUGUCCAAUUCCUAAGGCGUCAUUGUUCACAUUUGCAUAGUUGCUUAAGAUGGUGUGCUAACUCCCUUUGGAUAGCAUUGCUAUUUUGUGUUGAUUUUAUUGAAUUGAUUGGUCAGAGUAUUCCAAAGUUUUUCAAAUAUUUGAUAGCAGCAGUUUUAAGUUGCGCCAAAGUGUUGAUUUAAAUUUUUCCUGCUUAGCGCAGUUACAUCACAUAUGCAAGACAUUUGGAGUGAGAACCUCCAUUGAGACCGCUAAUGCACGGGAUUCACUUUAUCGGGCAGCAAUAAACUUGGUUCUCAGCUACUGCGAAAUGUAGGUGAAAUUCAUCUUGUAUAACCUUGUUUUAAAUUUAUAAUUACUUGUCACGGUCUUCUGUCUUCUAGGCUUAUUUUUCUUUCACAUACAAGUAACUUAAAUUUGAUCUUCUAUAGCAUAGCGAAUAAAUCCACCUCUGUCCAGAUAAAUGGUGAGGAUGCUCGACAGUUCAUUGCUGGGCUUGCUGAUAACAUUGGGCUUGAGAACACUCGUGCUGCCAGAAUGGUGGCAGCGGCUGUUGCUGCACGCACACGGUCAAGAAUUCUACAGGCAUGGGUGAGUUAUUUUUUCUUGUUCUUGAGACUUUUUUUCCUUUCAUUUUUUGCUAGAUAUUUUAUUUCGAAGAGGACCAAUACCUUCACCAGAUUAAAGCUUAUGUAGUUCUUAUCCCUUUUUUCCGCAUAAACAAUAUUCGAGGAGCAGUAAGUCUUCGGUUACUUUAUCUCAUUUCUAAAAGAAGAUAUACAAUUGCAUAGUGAUGUUCUACAAGGGUUAAUUGUUUCAUAAAUUUCCUUGCUCUUCCUUGUCAAUAUUGAAAGAAAUGUGAUGAUAAUCUGGUACUUCUGUUAUUAUGUACAUCAUCUAUACUAUGUCAUUGAGGUUUUGACUGUGUUUCAAAUGCUAUCAUAUCAGGCAUUAGAAGUUCAAGGUAAACAUUCUGAAGCACUCUUCGAACUGUCAAAAAUAUGUCUCAUUCACAGGGUAUUCCCUCCUCCAAAGUGCUCGGUAUGUGAUUCCAACUCUUGCUUGCUUUAUGAAGUUCUGUAGUCUCCUUUCUGCUUGUUGGUGCUAAAGUUUUCCAAUUUGAGGAUAUAACUACAUGGAUAUCUUGUAAUCUGUUAAUAAGCAGUAUUUUGAUAUUGAUAUUCCCUUCAAAACUAAUGAUGAAUGAUCAGUAGCUUGCAUUAUCUUCACAAUCUCCUUUGAAAAUGGACAUAAUUAGUCUAGUUGCACACACAUGGACACACGACACUGGCACGACACAACACGACACGAUACGGACAUGCCGGCAACUCAAUUUUUCCAAAAAAUAGGACAUGGACCCGGACACGGACACGUUGAUUUAAAUGUUUCAAAAUUAUAUAAUAUUCAUAUAUUAUAUCUUUGUUUUUAUAAUUUUUAAUAUAGGACACAUGUCGAGACACCUUCCCUAAGGAUGUCUUAAAAGUAUAUUUCGGGUGUCGCUAAUUUAUUAAAUAUGCAAAGAAUUGGACAAUGGCACAUGAAUUGGACUCCGACAUGGCAUGACACGUUGAACACAGACACUCUGUCCUAGUAGAAAAAUAGACACACUUGUUUUAAAGUCUCUAUAAUGGUCAAUUCUUCCUUUUUAAAUUCGUGAAUAACAAAAAGAUGGAUACACUUGUUAUGCAUGUUGUCUGGAAUUAGACUUUGAAAGAUGAGUUACUCUGAGUAAACUGCAAUCACUUUAUAGCAUGUUGAUAUUAUGGGCUUUCACUGAUCAUUCAACACGGUUUAUGUGUUGUCUACUAGCUAUUCUUGUUCAAAAAUGAUGGUGCUUAUUUUUUAAUCAUCACUCUACAAGGCCAUGUUUGUUAAGAAUUCCAUUUAAGUGGAUAAUUUAGUCACCUUUCAUUAAAUAAUUGCUAUUUGGAUUAUUCUCCCUGUCAUUGCAAAGUUGGGAGAGUUUCAGUUAACUGGCAUGUGGUUUUUUGGUGAAUACUCCAAAUAACUUAUGAUGGUCAUAUUUUUAUGAUGUCUUUGCAGCCUGAGAUGGAAAUGGUUGCUCGAGGCCUUGAAAAUCAUUUAAGUUUAGAUCAAAGAGAGUUGAUAUUAGAGUCACUCAUUAACGUUUGUGGCGAAGAGACGCAGAGAAGUUUUGUGGAAGCAUUGGGAUUGGUAUGUCCAUUCUCUACUUCGAUCUUCAAAUCCUCAGUGGUGCUUUAUAGUUGUCUUAAUUAGUUUGUUAAUGUCUUAUUCACUGAGAAAACUAUUUCAUAUUCGUUAUUGACUUGAUGUUUAAGGUAAUAGAGUACUUGAUAUUUUGCUGACACUAAACAAAAUGCACAGUAUGAAAUUCUAUAUUAACAUGUAGUGGCACUUCCCCAGACCUUUAAAAUUACAUUAACCAUCAAAGGUUUUCAAUUCAAGGCUUCUCAAUUUAGUACUUAUAUAUUCCUACCUUUAUUUUACUAAUAACAUAGUGGUAAAACUGGCAUUUUAAAUUGAGAAUACUUUGCCAGUUUAGUUAAAAGUCACUCAAUUUGACCAAUUUUUCAUUUUUGUUAAUGGGUUCGCGAAAAUAUUUUUCACAAUAUUAUCAGUAAAACCUCGAAACUGUUUUUUACCCUUUUAACCUUUUGUUCGUUUUUACCUUAACACAGGUAGGUGUCAAAGAUAGCCAAGAUAACAGGUAUGCGUAAAUUCAGCAAUAGAACUCACAUUGUUUUCUAAUUGGAGUUGUAGGCCACUGAAAUACAGCGAUUAUACAGUGUAUCACAUUUAUUCAGAUAUAUUUAAGAUAUUAUAUUAUCAACAUGCUUUCGGUAUGGAUUUUUUUCAGUUGAAUACGUGGUAAUGUUGAUGGAAAUAGUAAUCGGUUGUGGAAUGGGAACAUGGUCGUCUUGUACUGUCUGUAACAAGUUUAGUAUCAAAAUCAAACAAUGCAUAAUAAAGAAGGUUUCAUGAGCCUAUUCUUUUAGUUGGUUUGAAUAUGAACUUGGAGCACCUACAAGUUGAUCUGAGGAACAACUUGUAACAUAAGGUGAAUACCACAGGUGAAAAGGAAUUUUCGAUUUAUGAUAUAAGCUUACCCAUACGUCUUUAUAAUAGACAAUUAUUAAUUUUACACAACACUUUUUGAAUUUUCGUUUUGAGUAAUGUUAUUUAGCAGCAGUCUAAGUGACAGUGGAAGUAGAUGGAUCUAAGUGACAAUGGAAGUAGAUGGAGCUCAUAUAUAAUUGUCAAUAAAGUUGUGAUUCAUUUUGGUUUAUUGGACAAUUAUAGGUGGGUCCAUUGCCAACUAGUUGAUAUAUAUCUUUUGAAAAUCUUCGAACAUUGAAUCUUACUUUACAUAGAAUUUACGCAACACAGCUUUGUGAGUUCAAGUUUAUUUUGUUGAGAUUGUUUAUAUUGCCCCUCAUGAGAUUGUGCUUAACUGCUCGAUCAAUUAAACUGCACCAUCGAUUUUUCCAGUGAAGCAAUCGUUAGCAAGCCAUCUUCCCAAUAAAUUUUGGCAAAAAAAUGAGGGAGAAAAUCUCAUUUCACAAGUGCUCAUAAAGACGAAAACUAAUAGUUGAGUUGUGGAUUUUUUAUUUUUUCUAUUACAUGAAGAUUGUUGGAUGAUGUAUGACUUCUAACUGAGGGUAUUUACUAAUGAAAUGCUCUGAGGAAUUUAAAACAAUCGUUUGACUUCUCUAGUUUGCCUAAUUUAAAUGGUGAAAAGUUCAGGUUGGAUCUUACUAAUAAAUGUAGAGGCUACAUUUAUUUGUGUCGAUAAUCGUACUAGUUAGUCAUUUUGAGUGUAAUUCUAUUGAUUGUACUUGUUUUUGUGUGUGUAAGAAAUAGGAAUGAUAAAAGAGUAGUGAUAUAUGUACAUUUUUCGUGGGCAUAAUCGUUGACAUUUCUUUACACAUCCCUUCACAUGGAGGGGGGCUUGCACCGAAAGUGUAUAAAUAGGUUUAUCCAUGGUAAAAUAUCUUGCCCCGUGGAAUUGUGGCAAGGAAGGGAGCCUGGUUCCGGCACUGACUCUUCAAUUUUUCUAUGCAUUAAAAUUUAAAUUAUAUUUAAAAUAAUAAAAUAAAUGAAUUAUUAAAUGGAGUUGAAAAUUGAGUCCUAUUUGGUAAGGAUUAAAAUCUAGAUUUUAAUUUUAAUUUUAAUUAAUAAUUAAUUUUAAUGACUUAUUUUAUAAGAUUUGAAAGUUGUUAACAAUACAUUUCGUCAGUUUUUAUCAAAAUUUAUUAAAAAUUUGAUAUUAAUUCCCGUCAAACAGGGCUGGAGAAUAUUUUAAUUCUUGACCCGCUCUUUGGAAAUCUAAGCGGAAUGAGGGAGGGUUGCCGUAUUGCCAUCCCUACUUAGGAAUGCCUUCGAGCUUACGUAACAAAAUUGAAACAAUAAAUGCAUUCAAUAUUAAUAAUAAUAAUCUGUUUUAAUCAAUCUUGGUUCAUUUGUUAUAUAGGUUGGUGAUACUCAGCAUUCAAUCGUACUGCAAGCAAUAUAACACAUUCAGUUAUAUUGCAAGCAAAAAUAAUAACAAAUUUUUAGUGGGGAUAAAGAUUGUCAUUAUACACAACUGAUGGAACACAAAAAACGAGUACCAAAGAGAGGACACAAAUUUGUGUAUUUCAACCAACUACCAUAUGCACAUGGGCCCUAGAGGGACGAGGGUCCAUUUGGCGCGCCCCCUAUAGGUAGGGGGUUUGCUCUGGAUGUCAAUCACGAUCCUAUGUAAAUGUAAAUGUGAGAAUUAAUUAACUAAUCAAAAGUUAUGUUUUUGUUAAAUGGUGACAUGACACUUUUUAACCAAUUGGAUAGAACAAAUUCGAACUUGGCUUCUUAUACUAGUCGAUCAAUGGAAAGGAUGGAGUAGAAAACUCUCCGAUGCUUAGGCUAGUGGGGUUGGACAAGGCUGAUUUUGAGAGAAUUUUUGUGAAAAAUUGUUUACCUUCUCAUGUAUAGGGGUAGUGGGAUCAACAUAAUCUGUAUCACAUCAAUCAGUUUUGACGUUACGUGUAACUUCCAUCAGAUCAAGGGUGCUAAGUGCUGUGUGUGCAUUAGUUGAGACCCAUUUUUUAUAUAUAUAUAUAUAUAUAAAAUAAAUAAAUCAUUUUUUUGAGGCCUUUUUUCUUUUUCUUUUUCCUUUUUUUUUUAAAUAAAUCAUUUUUCAUUCAAAUUAUGCGAGAUCUAAAUAGUAAAUUAUCAGAAGGACAAUGUGGUGUUUUUUAUUGGUUGGCUGCCUACGAGAACUUUGCUUGAAUGUGGCCCUGUCUAUCUAGGAGGGCGAUGUGGCGCCCCCUAUUGAUUGGUUGUCUGCUAGCCAUUUAUGGCCUAUCUAUCAAGAAUAAUUCUUGAUUCUAAAAUUAUCUUAGACAAACCCCUUUCGAAGAGAAUUAUUCUGCAAGAAUGGAAAAAAUAGAUAGAAUCUCUAUAAGCGUUGCGUUGAUAAUACUUUUAUGACUGUUUAUUUUGGUGAUAAUUUGUUAAGUGUCCAUCUGUAUAAUUUCUAUUAAAAAUUUUCUAUACCUAUAACAUUAUUGUUUCAAGGAUCAAUGUCAUUUAUAUAGAGAAAGGGUAGAUUGUACAUGUCUGUGACAGUUCAAGGGUAAAGUUGGAAGGCAAAGGAUGCACAUACUAGCAACAUCUGCUUCAUUUCAUUAAUCAAUCAUAUUACAUAUACAUCAUCUUUUACAUUUUUAUUUACAUUAUGCCAUGUGACAACACAUCAUUAAACAAUUUUUUUUCUUCUAAACCACACUUUCUCGCCCUCAACUUUUUGAACUCUAAUGGGAUGUGCACAAUGAUGUCAACCCCACAAUGUACACAUAGCGUUAUUUUUUUUUUUUUUUAAUAUUGAAAAAGCCACAUAUUAUUUAAUACAAUUUACUGUUCAUAUUUUGGGAAAAAAACCGCUAAAAAUUUGGUUUUUAUUCGGAUCAAAUAGGAUCUUAGUUUGUAAGAUUAAAGAAACACCGAUCACCUUUUUAUCGCGCCUCUGCCGUGUUUUUAACACUUGAUUUCAACACCAUGUUACGUAAUAAAUUAAAGUUGGACAUUUGUUUAUUUUUCAUUUUUAUGUACUAGGACUGAGAGCGACUAGCCACCAAAUUUUUACUAUCUUUUUUAUUAUUAUAUUUAAUAAUUAUUUAAUUGUAAUAUUUUGUGUAGAUAUCAUUAUUUUACUAAUAUUCUUCAUAGGAACAUUUGUGACAAUGAUAUUAAUCGUGCUACUAGCCGUCCAGCCAGCAAAUCAAGACAUUGUCGAACUACUUUAAGUCCGUCUAGUCUAGUUUACACCCUUUUGCCAGAUGUAUAAAUUUGUCCUAAAAAUCGAUGUACACAUCAAGAAACAACUACUUUUUACUAUAGUUGAUAUAAUGAUACCGAUAGCCAGCAAAAUAAAGUCACGAGUGAGUCAAGUUAAAGUGAAUUUAGUACCAUCGAACUCUGAUAACUUAGAAAAGGGAAAAAAUUUUGAGAAGCCAACAAUGAUGUUUGUCAAUAUCCAAUAUAUUAGUAAGAGGAAUCAUUUUAUACCAUAGUACUCCUCAUCCCCUAAAAAUGAACUUGCUUUCCUUUUUUAUUUGUUCCAAAUUAUAUGUCACUUUUCUAGUUGAGGGUAUGGUAGAUUUUCUAGUUUUCUAAUAUUCCUUAAUUUAAUGUGUCUCGUUAUCAACAAAUAUGGAAUAUUUCUAUUGAAAUCAUUAUUUAAUGUAGGAGUGCAUUAGGAGAAAUAUAAAUAAAAUUUAUAUUUUCAACUACGUUAAUUACAAUUUCUUAAUUUGUGUGAAAAUAGAAAUAAGCUUAUCUUUAUUGGACGGGUGAAGUAUUUUUUAUAACUAUUAUAUUUAUAUACGUUGUCUAAAUUGAUUUAGGUCUUUUAUACCUGUGAACUUACUAUGUAAUAGUGCAAAAUAGAGCAACAUGGUGGAACACCGAUGGAAUUGGGGAUUUCAUAAGAAAAAUGUAAUUCGUUUUGAAUUUUUCCUUCUCUUUCCUUUUUUCAUGAAAAUGCUCAAUUAUUGCAAGUUUGUUUUAUACACAACUUGUUUUAAAGUUCUCAACACUUUCUUCGAAAUUAUAAGAAAAUGGCCACUACUAUGUUUGAUGUAAUAAUAUAAAGUGUCGUUUGAUGGACGAUUGCAGAAAUGUUUAAAGAAUGUUGAAUCAUCUGGACAUAGAAAAUCAACGAUUUUGUCAAAAGAGAAGAUAUAUUUCUCUUGAUUCAUUAUCAAUGUUCUUUGCUUUUGUUUCUUGAAUUUUCUCUCUGUAUAAUAUACUGAUUCUCGCAUCGAAUGAAAAAUCAAGAGAAGUUUUCGAUUUCUUUUUAAAAAAUUAUAUUUGAAUAAUAUUAUUUAUAUAUGCAAUAUCAAAGAUCGGCAUAUAUCUUUUAUGUUUAAAAAAAUUGAAUUUUCUCAACGAAGUCUAAAUUUUGAGGCCAUCAUAGAAAAUUUUCUCAAACAAAACAAAUUGAUUAAAGCCAAAUUUAAAAAGUAAGAGUCAGAAAUUUUUUAUUCAUUUGUUUAUUUAAAGACAAUGAUAAAGACGUAUACGAAAUGACUAGGAGAUUUCUUUAAAUAUGAAUAUGUUGACCUUAUCCAUAUUGUUUGGUGGGAUUUUAGGUUUUUAGAGAUGAAGGACCAAUCACGUUGUCCAAAUCAUAUAGUCUCCGAUAUCAUAAUUUCACGUGCGAAUUCAGAUCGACAUAUUUGUCUCAAUUUGUAUACAAAUUUUAUUGAUGGUUUACUCGUAAAAUUAAAGUCAAACAUUAAUUUCAGUCACACGAAACUAUUGUUAAUUAUUAUUUGCACAUUUUAUAGGAUAUAUAAUUAUUUCUCUUUAUAAAUCAUUCAUAAAUAGAGACAGUACAAGCUCUGUAACGCUCCUAAAGUUGACACUACCAACAUAUGGCGGAUGAUUGCAACCUUAGUCCGGAAUGAAUAUAAAGCCACGUUGAUGACGACCGAACUAUUACAUAGAUUUAUGUUCAUUAAUCUCGGAGGGCUUUCACUCCAACAUAUCUUCACUUAUGAGUCGAUUUUUAAAAUAAUAAAAUAAGAGGUUCUCAAAUUUAAUUAUUUUAAUAUAUUAUUUAAUUUUAAUCAAAUUAUCCACGCGAUACCAUAUCCAUUUGCAUUUGUUCUUAGCCACGACAUAUCCCAAUUCACAAGUCUUAUUCUAUGUUUGGCCCACAUUUUUUAAAAUUAAUUUUUCUUAAACUCAACCACAUUUCUUAGGAUUAACAACUUUUAUCAAAUUUUCAACUAAAAUUUCACCUACUUUUAUCAAAAUUUAUUAUAAAUUUGAUUUUCAUCCAUACCAAACAGGGUCUUAAUAUUUUAUAUAAAAAUUUAAUUAAUUGUUAUUACUUAUUAUUAGUAAUAUUGUUUUUUGUGUUAACCAGUGGGAAAUUUGCACAAAUAGUCCUUAACCUAUAAGCCCCUAUGCAAAUGGUUCCUAAUCUUCAAAUCACUGCACAAAACUCCGUAACCUACCACUUUCGUUUACCAUUUUAUUAUAUUAUUUUUUUAUAGUACUCAUUUUCAACCACACGUUAUUUAUUAAAAUAAUAUUACACAUAAAUUAAAAAUAUUUCUUCUUUUUUAACUAAACAUUUCAACAUCAAUCACUAUUCUAAAAUACAUUAUUCACAAAUAAUGAGGCACAAACACCCCCACAGUUUUUACUUUUCAUAUGUAGUACUAUAUUUUAGUUGUAGUAAAAAUUCACUUCAUUUGCUUGUUGUAAACUUUUUUGCCCAUAUUUUAUUUUAAUUUUCAAUUGAUUAACAUAUUUUAUCUCUAACAAUAACAUUUUUUAUCCAACUUUUAUUUAUUAUUAUACUUAUAUUCCAACAUUUACUUAAUGUCACAUUAGUAACAUUUUUUAAUGAUAGGUUUUUAUGUUAUGCGUGACGAUUUAACGAUUACUUAUAGGAGUUGUAUAUAUUAGUUAUUUGUACCAAUUUCCCUUAAACAGUAGAUUUUUUUAGUCAAAUAAUUUUUUUUUCUCAUUUCAUGGAAAUUAUUAUAUUUGAUGGUUAUGGAUUUGUUUUUUGAUUUUAUUUUUCUGCUUUGACAUGUAAAUUUUAUGCAUGAAGGUUUGUUUUUCCAAAAAAUGGAAAACUUGUUAUAAUAACUUUAAUAGGUUUUUUUAAAUAUAAGAUAUUUUUAUAUUAGAGAGUCAAUGCCUCUCUACUUGUAGAAAUAUUCUAUUUUUCAUUGUCAGGUAAGACUAGUCGAUCUUCUCAUAAGCAAUUUAAAAAUUAUAAAUUUAAAAAUCAAAUUAAAAUAAUGUAAAUUUAGAUAGAAUCACAAGAUAAUUGGGCACGAAUUUCGAAAUUGUCCGCACGCAUUAUAGGUGACUGUGACGCACCACCAGGUAAUGUUCAUUCAUUUAUUUCAGCGCCGACUGAAUUGUUUUAAAUGUAUUGGUGUGCAACACGUUAAACAUAAAUAAACAAGACUAUAAAAUUUCUAUUCAACAAAUAAAACGAACUCCCCGUUUUAACUAAGAAAAAUAUAUAAAAGAUUUUAAAAUAUGAAGAUUAAUAAAACCUUCUGGUCAGCAGAAAAACAAAUAGAGUAAUGCUAUUCAUAGUCGCUUACUGCAGUAAUCGUCCUAUGUGGCAUUCUAUAUACGCGAUUUGUGAUUUGAUAAAUUAAUGUUGUAGUUGUUUAUUGUCACAUAUAUCAAAUCAUUAACCGUUACAUGCAUGUUACAUAGGAUGAGUAGUUGCAAAUAGCAUUAUUCAAACGGGUAUUAUAAGAAUCAGACUCCAUUGUAUAUAAAAAAACUUUUUAGGUGAAUGGCAUUUAUAGAAUUUUAAAAAAUCUCAAAUCGAUCUAAUUUAUAUGGAAAAGAAUCUAAAAUAUAUAGAAAAUGGUAAAUUAAUCAAGGAUUCUUCUCAUUGCCAGAAUAUCAAGUAUUGUAAGAACUAAAUUGAACUUUUCGUUACAACUAAAAAAAUCAAUCUAAUUGUAUGAAAAAUAUAGAAGUUGGUAAAUAAUGAAAGAACCUUCUAGUCGAGUAGUGAAUUAGAAUCGAUUUUUUAUAUACCAGUUUGAUCUCAAUUUAAUCAUAUGCAUAAACUCUUAAAAAAAAAUAAAAAUUUGUACCAAAUCUCACCAUUAGAAUAAUAUCAAAUUCUCUUUGUUAUCGUGUUCAUGCAAAAUUUACGUUCAACAACCCCAAAGAGCCUUCAAUGAUCAACGAUGGGAACGAUGGGUUCAUGCACAAAUUUAUUUUUACAAUCAUGCAACAUGAAUAUCAAGGUUGACAUAAAGUUAAUAUAAUGCUAAAUGGCAUGUUAUUAUUUGACACUUCAAAAUACACUCAACUUUAUCAUUCAAUUAUCUACUGUUACAUUUAAUUAUGUCGAGUUUUAUAUCAAAUCUUUCUCAGGCCCCGUUUGAGUCCCAUUAAUUUCUUGUAACGUAUUAUAGAAUAGUAAAUUGAUGAAAAAUAUAUGAUUAAAAAAGAAGAAAUUUUUUUUGAUUUACGUAUAAUAUAAUUGUAGUGAAAAAUGUGUGAUUUAAAAUGAGUAAUUUAAAAAAAAAAAUAAUGAAAAACGAAUGGGAGAAAAUGGGGCAGGGGCUUAUAAAAGUAGCUUUAUCCCUAUUUUUAAUCAUUCUCAAAAGCUUCCACUAGAGACUUAUAAAAUUGACAAGUCAGUACUCAGAUUAAUUCCGGCUUAUCAGUUUAAUUUAAUUGGAUUAUCCACGCGUCACAUCAGCGCCCAUUUGCUCUAGCAUGAACCUCUAUUCUAUAAAGUAGCAGUCCAAAAAUACAAAUAUUUGCUGGAAAAUUCAAUUAGAACAGAAAAUUCUCACUUUUUUAAAACUAUUUGCAAUUUUUUAAUAUCAUAAUCUCCCAAAAUCUUGUGUUUUCCAAUUUUAGCUAUGAAUUUAUAGCCUUCAUUAGCAGAAUCUCAUUUACUCUUCUUUGGUAUAUCUUUGUGCUGCUCUGUCUUGUGGAGUGUUGCCGUUAGGAAAAACUUCUAUAUAUUAUAGACCCUUUACUUGUUUUUGCAAUCUUGAUUUUUUGUUAUAGUUUAAACCCUCGAAUCGGAAACCCUAAGCAAAAAGUCCCCAGCGAUUCAGUAAUUUACCCAUUUUUCUUGUCGUUGAAUCUGUAAAUCAUUAGGCAGUAGUCUAAAAAAUUGCCGAUAAUUUACGAGGAAAUUUGAACUGAAACUGCAAGAGAGGAUGACGAUCGAGUCGAUGCCAGGAAGUUCAGGGUACAUAGAAGUAGGAAAUAGAAAGAUAACCUAUUUCAGCAACGGUUAUGUUUUGGGGUUGACUGUUGUUGCGGGUAUUGGUGGUCUUCUUUUUGGCUACGACACUGGUAAUUUUUUUUUUUUUUUUUUUUAAAUCUUCUUUUUCAUUUUGUCUGCUCUAGUAAAUUGAUUGUAAAUAUUUAAUUCACGAGCUUGGAAUUUUGAAAUGUUUGUAACCGUUGACAUUUAAUUUUGUUGGAGAGGCAUAGUGAUUUGUCUCCUCAAACUUGUGGGUUGAAGCUCUAAUGCAUGAGAUUUUUUUGGAACUUCGAAAUAUUUUCUAUUCACAAACAUAAGAAAAAAUAAUUUAGAGAUAUAAUCUAGAGUCUAGACUUCAUCUUUUUCACUUCAUCUUUUCCAGUUUUACAGUGUUGGGUUUUCUUUUUCUUUUUUUGAUAUGUUAAUGUACUUAGCUGUCUCCCUCCCCGACGACAAUACAUAUGCACGAAAAAGAAAUUCAAUAAAAGUAGCUAGAGCCUAGAUGGAUCAUAAUAAUCACUAGUUGGUUGCAGGAGUUAUAUCGGGAGCCCUCCUGUAUAUUCGUGAUGAAUUUGAAGAAGUCAAUCAAAGUCACUUUCUUCAGGUAUGUAAGGCUAAUUGUUAUCGUUAUAAAGUGAUAUGCAAAAAUUCCAUAUUUUACUCAUGGAGAGUGCCCCUACAAAAUAUGGUGGAAAUGGAAAUGUAGUUCCUUUGUAGUUUUGAUUAAGCAUGAGAAGAAACCAAAAAGGUGCUGUGCAAUUAAAGUCGUGGGAGCCAGCUGUGAUGAUUUUGUGCUUUCCGUGGGAUGUUGUUUAGUUGAUAGCGAAGAAAUUGCGUACCAGUGGCUUUUGUUGUUUUAAGAGAAAUUUUCUGGGAAGGUGAUUGAUUUGAAAUACAGCAGAAGGGAACAUAAUUAAUAAUUUUUUACUACUAAUCUUAAGAAUGAAAAUUUUUACUCUCGGAGGUGGUGUAAUUGAAGAGCGGAAAUUGUUCGUUCUUUUCUUUCUUUCUCAGUGUGUGUGAAUGUGUUUGUCUCUCUCAGCCCCAUUCCCAAACUGACUGGAUUUUUUAUUAUCUACUUUCUCAAUCUUUCGUGCUCUUUAUGUAUUAAAGUUUCUGUUCCAACGAUUUGACAGGAAACAAUUGUCAGUAUGGCUUUGGUCGGUGCAAUGAUUGGAGCUGCCAUAGGAGGCUGGGUAAAUGAUUCUUAUGGACGUAAGAAGGCUACUCUGUCAGCUGAUGUUGUUUUCGCUCUUGGAUCUGUAGUCAUGGCUGCAGCUCAGAAUCCUUAUGUUCUUAUUUUUGGACGUUUCUUGGUUGGCUUGGGGGUGGGGGUUGCAUCUGUUACUGCUCCUGUGUAUAUUGCUGAGGCUUCCCCUACAGAAAUUAGGGGAGGCCUUGUCAGCACAAAUGUGCUAAUGAUCACCGGUGGACAAUUUCUUUCAUACCUUGUGAAUCUUGCAUUUACAGAGGUCAGAUUUUUCUUACUCUUACUCAUUCUUUAAUAUGAUCUAGGUUUUUACUCCAAUUCUUCAUUUUGUUGGUUUUUCAUUGAUUCACAUUUGUUAUGUCUUGCAAUGAGGUAACUUUCCUCGUGUCAAAUGAGAUAAAUCUGUUUCCGAAACCUAAUUUUUAUGGAUAAUGGUUCUGGAAGAACACUAAAUUUACAGAGAAUGCAAAUUAGAUGUGCAGUCCAGUUGAGCAUGAACAAUAAAAGUUUUCACCUUCUUGUAGUCUUAGUUAUGGAGUUUUGAAUUAAUUUAAAAUUCUCAAAUUACACCAAAUGAUAGAUUGAUGAAUUGGACAGAACAAUGUACAGACUUCCACUGUUUUUCUUGUCUUGGUGCAAGUGUUUUUUGUCUAUUAACUUAAGAAUUUGAAACUAUUUAUAUAGUUCAUCCAUAAUGAUAUUAUUAAUAGAUUAAGCUUUUCUUACAAACUUGCCUAAAAUAAUAAAAAAUGUACACUAGAUAGUUCUUUAAUUUUUGGUUGAGAAGCUGGUAAUUUUUGAGAUAGUAUGCGCUAGGGCUGGAUAUGGUCCGGUUCGGUUCUAACGAGAACCGAACCGACCCGAAAUUUUCGAGUAUUUAGUAAGUGGAACCGUCGGGUCCAAAUUUAAUUACAGAACCAUUCGGGUUCGGUUCCAUUCGGUUCGGUUCGGUCCGAUUCGGUUCCAUUCGGUUCCGUAUUAUAAUUAAAUUUUUUAAUAUAUACAAAGUCACAUUAAUUUAAUUAAUGAUAUAUUUAAUAUUAGCUCUUACAAAAUAACGUAGUUCAAUUUUAUGUGUUUCACGUCUCUCUUUGCUGAAUUUUUCAUAAAUUUGAUUAUUAAAAUUACAGAAAAAGAAAGAUAGCGAGCUCAAAAUAAUUAAGAGAGAUGUUGUAGAGUUUUAAUUCGAUUUUCUCCGGCAGAAAGGACACUACAGUAGAAUAACGGAUUUGGAUAAAAUUGAGGUCUAUUUGAUUAAGUCGAUUUUGAAUUGAAUAUUAGAAAUAGGAAAAUCAUAUUUUGUGGUUUGAACUAAAUUAACUAGUUAAUAAAUUUAUUUAGAAAAAAUAAAAUAAUUUUACUUAUUUAAAAUUAAUUAAUUUAAAAAAUUAUGGAGAUUCGGUUCUUAUUCGGUUUUUCGGGUCUUGGCCUAGAACUGAGAACCGAACCAUACCCGUCGGUUCUUGAUUCAAAUACCCGUUCGGGUAUUUAACUUGAGAAGAACCGUCGGGUUCGGUUCUGUUCGGUUUGGUCGGUUUGGUUCGGGAGUUUUGUCCAGCCCUAGUAUGCGCAUUCUUCAUUGUAGGUUUAUUUAACUAAAUGCAACCAUAAGUGACUGACUAUGCAUCAAUGGACAUUAGAGUUUCAAUUUGAAGUUUUUAUUCAAAUAACAAUCAUGUUUUGAAAGUAAUACUUUUCUUGUUUGUCCUGUAAGCCCUUCUUUCUAGCCUAUCUUCAGACAGUUCCGAGAAUGAUUGGAGGCAUCAAAAUCAAUUUACUUCACACACGAAAGAUAUAUUUGCAUCUAUUGAUUCUAUGUACCUAAUAAGUUUUAUUUGCUCAUGCUUAUUACAAUGCUUCCUUGGCAUGAAAGGUUUUCAAUUGUGCAGUUCUGGCGAGGCAGCAUGAAGAUAGAAUAUUGGGAUUGCGUUAUAAGUUUUCUCAAUGAGUAACACAUCACCAAAGGAAACUGUUCUGUUCUUUUCUUGCCACUAUUAUUUGUAGUUUGUUUCGGUGGAUUUCAGCUUGUUGCUGCUUAAUGUGCUCAAAUCUUGUUUGUGUUAUGAUGAACCAUUACAUUUCUUCUUUACUAAUUCUUGCUGAAUGUAACUUUUAUUUGUACUCAUAUAUUUGUCACUAGGCUGCUUUCUUCUGCCCCUGCAAUAUUUGGCCAAUUGUCAAUGUCAGUUAAUUGGUAGAGCGUAUCGUUUCAUUCAUGUUUCCUUUUCUCCAAUGUCUAUGUCGAAACGUUAUCCAUUAGGUCACAGGACUGGUUUACAAUAAAUUUGAACAUAUGCAUGAGAACAUGUUAGGUUAAGCUUUCAAUGUUUUCUUUCCUCCAAUAAUUGUGUGAUGUUAUCGAUUAGGUCUUAGGAUUGAGUUAUGAUAUAAAUAAACAUAUUUUUCAGAACACUUUAGCUUACAUUAGGCAGCUUAAAAGUUGAAAAAGUGGUCAACGAAGAGGCAGCCCAACUAUGAUAUACUGUUGUGUUCCUCCUUUUCAUCUCAUGCUUUAUUAUUCAUAUUUUGUUUGGUAAUAACUGCCAGUUAUGGUUUUAUUACAACAUGAUAGAAAUAUACAGAGGUUAUUGGAAACUGCUCAUUGGCUCAUUAAUGUCCCUGAUUCUUAUAAUAAUUAAUACUUUUGAUAUCUUGGCAUCGCUAUUCUCUUCUGCAUGGAGUGUAAAUAUUCAAUACAUAUAAUUACUAUUGUGUAAAAGGCUAAAGGUUUGUCCACAUAGUGACGAUUAUUAGAUUAUGUGAUUAGUUGUAAUGAAUUUUUAAAAUGUCCUAACAGUUCCUGAUAUGAAAUUUAUAGUUUCUGUAGGUUCCAGCUUUUGGUAUUGUCUGAGGUAUGUAUUUAAAUGUGUAGGGUGCUCGCUCCUCAGAAAAUUUGACGAUAUCUCAUUAUUUUGGUCAAAUUUAAGCUUACCUCCCAAUAAAUACACAAAUUUUCUUUGACUUGAAAGGUGUCCAUUUUAUGUUACAAACAAAUUGUUUACACCCACAUAUCAUCCCAUUCCACGAGUUUGCUCCAUUUCUGUCUCUGAUGGACCCAGGAAUCUAAGUGUAUGUAAAUAUGAAGCUUCUAAAGUUGGUAAUUUUCUUUCUUUUACUAAUUAUAAUUAAUUGUCCAUUGCUAUCUUGCUUACCUAGCAGUACUUUUAACAGUUUUAGUUCAAUGUUUGGGAAUAGUUUAUACAGAAAGACAAGUAAACAAUUAAAGGGAGGGGACUUGGUGAAUUAGUUUUAGUCGGUAAAUGAUUUGUUUCUAUAUGCUAUUUUGCAUCAACUGGGGAGGCAUGAACGCGUUGUGUAUAUAUAUCUCUUAUUCUAUUUGUGAUUUUUUCGUUAUUUAAAUGGGUGAGCAGGUUC